CGCGUAGGCGGCUAUUUAAGUCUGGAGUGAAAGUCCUGCUUUUAAGGUGGGAAUUGCUUUGGAAACUGGAUGGCUUGAGUGCAGGAGAGGUUAUCGGAAUUCCCGGUGUAGCGGUGAAAUGCGUAGAGGUCGGGAGGAACACCAGUGGCGAAGGCGGGUAACUGGACUGCAACUGACGCUGAUGCGCGAAAGUGUGGGGAGCAAACAG
Molecule: ribosomal RNA, 208 nt
Filed under: uncultured bacterium
Lineage: Bacteria
Description: partial 16S ribosomal RNA
Rfam family: Bacterial small subunit ribosomal RNA
Source: RNAcentral